UUGAGUACUCACGUGCAAUACACGGGGGCGAUGGCCGGCCGUUUGGGCUGUGCACGCAGGUCAGAUGUGUUGUGAGAGAACGGAAACACUGACUGUAGUCGUAUAGUCGCCAUCAAUACUACUAUCGUCGCCGCUAUGCUGUGCUGUGUUGUUCAGUGUAAAAUCCGUUAGCGGGGCCAGAAUACGAGCAGCAGCACAAUGCAAUAUGGGUCCGACAGACUAAAAUACAAUAAUUAUAAAGGCAACUCCUUGUUACUUAAGUGGGCGCCACCGCCAAAAUAAUAAUAAUAAUCAACAUAAACGGUCGUCAGAUUAAAUAACAUAGACAGCAAAAAAUAUUGUGAAAAAUCAGUCAAAUUUUAAUAGCACAAAUCAAAUGUUUCCUUGGAAAAUUCCUGAUAAUUCUCAGCCCAUCGCUAAGGAGUUAUCACAGUCAUCGCUAUAGGAUAAAUCCCAAAUGUUUCCCCAUCAAAACUGGAAACUAAAAACUCAGUCGGCCAUCAAGUCGGAUAUGAACACAGUGGACAGAAUUUGUUUACCGUGUUUAAGCAACAGUUCCUUGAUAAUGUCUUGGGCGAUCGGAGUGACCAUGUUCAAAACAUAUCUCUUGUUCGAGUUGAAGAAAUACGAAGCGAUUUCGACUGAGAAAAUAAACGGUUUUUAUUGAAAAAAAAACUUAACAAACCGUAUCCAAAAGUUUCAUAAUAAUUCAAAAUAAAAACCAAACUAUAAUAUUGUGUACGAGAUAAAUAGACAAUCAUAGUUAUUGUUUCUACACAUUUUAAAAUAGAAAAACCUCUGGAAAUACAUAAUGACGCAAUAUGUAGUUAGGUACAAACUAUGUAGGCUAUUAUUAUGAAUCAUAUAUUUAAUUGUAAUUGACACAGAACCCGUUUUAACCAAUUACACUGAAAGCGAUUUAU
Molecule: long non-coding RNA, 923 nt
Organism: Adelges cooleyi (spruce gall adelgid)
Lineage: Eukaryota; Metazoa; Arthropoda; Insecta; Hemiptera; Adelgidae
Exons: 3
Source: RefSeq, a predicted model, not a curated record